ACAAUCCAGGGAAAAAGCAAGGUCCAGAUGCUGUGGUUUACCUGUCUGAUGUCAUCAUGACUGAACAGAAGAACACUGAUCAAGUGACUUUAAACUGCUCUGUGUGGACAUAUAAACGGUGUAAACACAAAGUGAGGUGGAUCCAUGACAGUGGAGGUCUGAAUAGAGAUUACUCAAACAUAAAAACAUUACAGUCGCCCUGCUCUGCUGCUGUUACUUUUAUAAAGUCAUCAUACAGUCACAUAUCUAACUCUGACUUUAAGUGUAACGUAACAACAGAAGAAAACAAAGAGCAGCUUUUUACCUUCAGGCCUCAGUCAUCAGAUACAGUAACAUCAGCAA
This is a long non-coding RNA of Pundamilia nyererei, 342 nucleotides long. RefSeq lists it as uncharacterized. The transcript has 3 exons. The record is from RefSeq and is a predicted model, not a curated record. Lineage: Eukaryota; Metazoa; Chordata; Actinopteri; Cichliformes; Cichlidae.